Molecule: long non-coding RNA, 313 nt
Organism: Armigeres subalbatus
Lineage: Eukaryota; Metazoa; Arthropoda; Insecta; Diptera; Culicidae
Exons: 3
Source: RefSeq, a predicted model, not a curated record
UGUCAACGGCUGGACUGGAAAAAUUAUUCCGUAUCAAGGAAAAAACGAGUACUGCUCCAAUAUAAUUUCCUUCGACGAAGUAAAUUUACAGAUGUUGAAAGAGCAUGGGAUGGACUCUGGAUAUUUCAUCGAGUACUUAACAGGAAUCGAGCGUCCGGCAGCCAAUAUUAUAUACUUGAAUGUUUACCAUAAGCCGUUUCGACUUCGACUGUACUAAGUUUAAACCGAGGAUAAAAUAUUUGCGACAAAAUCCCGCGGAACACCAAACAAUGAAGGCAAAACGAGAAGUUGACCACUACCACCUUUAAACGCG